This 291-nucleotide ribosomal RNA is filed under the name Triticum aestivum (bread wheat). RNAcentral's name for it is "partial small subunit ribosomal RNA". The record is from RNAcentral. Lineage: Eukaryota; Viridiplantae; Streptophyta; Magnoliopsida; Poales; Poaceae.
GUGGCCAGGGUAACUUGGAGAGUGUUGGCUUGUAUGUUUGGGACUGAUUUAUGUCCAAAUAACCUAUGGCAAGCGUAUGCGUGGUGUCACUCGUUUUUCCCAGAAGGGGAAGUGUUUCACACAGUGGGCAUUGCUGUGGUAUGCUGGGCGAUUUGGACGUGUCGCAACAGAGUUACUUUUGAGUUUAUACCUCUCAGAAACCCAUUUGAAUGCACUUUCUCUACUUGUGCUCUUCUUUGUUACUGGGCAGGACUGGAGCGAACAUGCCAAAGAGCAACGCCUCAAGACUGA